CCAAUAGCGUAUAUUAAAGUUGUUGCAGUUAAAAAGCUCGUAGUUGAAUUUCGGGAUCAAUAUGUCGGUCGUGCUUAGGUACGUACUGGCAUCGUUGGUUUCUCCUUUCUGAUGAACCAUGAUGCCAUUAAUUUGGUGUUAUGGGGAAUCAGGACUGUUACCUUGAAAAAAUUAGAGUGUUUAAAGCAGGCUAACCCUUGAAUUCAUUAGCAUGGAAUAAUGAAAUAGGACGUUUGAUUCUAUUUUGUUGGUUUCUAGGAUCGACGUAAUGAUUAAUAGGGAUAGUUGGGGGCAUUAGUAUUCAAUUGUCAGAGGUGAAAUUCUUGGAUUUAUUGAAGACUAACUACUGCGAAAGCAUUUGCCAAGGAUGUUUUCAUUAAUCAAGAACGAAAGUUAGGGGAUCGAAGACGAUCAGAUACCGUCGUAGUCUUAACCAUAAACUAUGCCGACUAGGGAUCGGAUGAUGUUAAUUUUUUAAUGACUCAUUCGGCGCCUUACG
Molecule: ribosomal RNA, 499 nt
Filed under: uncultured Glomeromycotina
Lineage: Eukaryota; Fungi; Glomeromycota
Description: partial small subunit ribosomal RNA
Rfam family: Eukaryotic small subunit ribosomal RNA
Source: RNAcentral